Long non-coding RNA from Erinaceus europaeus (western European hedgehog), 327 nucleotides. RefSeq lists it as uncharacterized. Lineage: Eukaryota; Metazoa; Chordata; Mammalia; Eulipotyphla; Erinaceidae. The record is from RefSeq and is a predicted model, not a curated record. The transcript has 2 exons.
CUUGCAAAAUCCACAGAGUCCCUGUUGGCAAGUCCUUACCACAAAGGACACCAUGGCAGUAUACACUCCAGCUAACCUCACCAGCUUAUCCAAGUCUUCUCUUUCUGCUGACCUACCACUGCUGACUUCAUCUUUGCAUGUUUACUGACUGCUCACUUUUCUCAAAAUAUUCCUCGAUGAACCUCACCUUAACUUCUAAUGUGUAUGUACUUCCUCUGUGUUUUGGUAAACACCACCCUAUAUUUUCAUGUCAAUUCUUCUCUACCUGGUCCUUGCCUCCUAGUUUUGCUUGUUCCACAGCUGACUCUCUAUGAAGAAGAAAAAUUU